This 1072-nucleotide ribosomal RNA is filed under the name fungal endophyte. RNAcentral's name for it is "eukaryotic LSU rRNA". The stretch from base 477 to 1072 matches the Rfam family "Eukaryotic large subunit ribosomal RNA", at positions 1 to 607 of the family's 3401-position model. The record is from RNAcentral. Lineage: Eukaryota; Fungi.
CGGAGGGUCAUUAUAGAGUUUUCUAAACUCCCAACCCAUGUGAACUUACCUUUUGUUGCCUCGGCAGAAGUUAUAGGUCUUCUUAUAGCUGCUGCCGGUGGACCAUUAAACUCUUGUUAUUUUAUGUAAUCUGAGCGUCUUAUUUUAAUAAGUCAAAACUUUCAACAACGGAUCUCUUGGUUCUGGCAUCGAUGAAGAACGCAGCGAAAUGCGAUAAGUAAUGUGAAUUGCAGAAUUCAGUGAAUCAUCGAAUCUUUGAACGCACAUUGCGCCCAUUAGUAUUCUAGUGGGCAUGCCUGUUCGAGCGUCAUUUCAACCCUUAAGCCUAGCUUAGUGUUGGGAAUCUACUUCUCUUAGGAGUUGUAGUUCCUGAAAUACAACGGCGGAUUUGUAGUAUCCUCUGAGCGUAGUAAUUUUUUUCUCGCUUUUGUUAGGUGCUAUAACUCCCAGCCGCUAAACCCCCAAUUUUUUGUGGUUGACCUCGGAUCAGGUAGGAAUACCCGCUGAACUUAAGCAUAUCAAUAAGCGGAGGAAAAGAAACCAACAGGGAUUGCCUUAGUAACGGCGAGUGAAGCGGCAACAGCUCAAAUUUGAAAUCUGGCCCUUGGGUCCGAAUUGUAAUUUGUAGAGGAUGAUUUUGGUGCGGUAUCUUCCGAGUUCCUUGGAACAGGACGCCUUAGAGGGUGAGAGCCCCGUACGGUUGAAUGCCUAGCCUCUGUAAAUCUCCUUCGACGAGUCGAGUAGUUUGGGAAUGCUGCUCUAAAUGGGAGGUAAAUUUCUUCUAAAGCUAAAUAUUGGCCAGAGACCGAUAGCGCACAAGUAGAGUGAUCGAAAGAUGAAAAGCACUUUGAAAAGAGGGUUAAAUAGCACGUGAAAUUGUUGAAAGGGAAGGAUUUGUGACCAGACUUUUUCUGGGCGGAUCAUCCGGGGUUCUCUCCGGUGCACUUCGCCCAGUAAAGGCCAGCAUCGGUUUUCGGCGUGGGAUAAAAGCAGUAGGAAUGUGGCUCUCUACGGGGAGUGUUAUAGCCUAUUGUAUAAUACCGCGCUGGGGACCGAGGUUCGCGCUUCUGCA